RNAcentral lists this long non-coding RNA (674 nucleotides) under Prunus dulcis (almond). RNAcentral describes it as "sRNA ncRNA". The record is from RNAcentral. Lineage: Eukaryota; Viridiplantae; Streptophyta; Magnoliopsida; Rosales; Rosaceae.
GCUCUUGUAUUAUUAUCAGUACCUUAACAUAUACCCAUUAGAUAAACACCUAAUUAUCAUCUAUAUUGCAUUAUGAUAAGAUAAGAUAGGCGCACAUAACUUACAAUUUGUCCUCAAACUAGUGUUUAUCCCAAAAUUCCCCUAGCAAUAGGCCGAAAGCUUGUAUGAGUUGCGAGCGUUCCACUAUUAGUACGAAAGAAAGUAUAAUAGAAAGAUAAAUAAAAGGAAUCAGACCUUGUUAGAAGAGAAUAUAUGACAAAAUAGGCCAGGAAAUGGAGAUCAAAUUAACAUCAUCAACUGAAGCAACUGAUAUGACAGCAAGGUGAAUUAAUUCGAAACCAUUCAUCGUGGAAAAAAGAAAAACCAAGUAAAGUAAACUAGAAACUCAAAUUACAUGUAGAUGAAGUUCAAAAGCAAGCAUCCAACAGACAGCAGCAACACAAGGCAGCAGCACAUCCCUUCCAGAAGUCAUCACCCUUGGACUUGGUUUCUACAGGUCCAUGAGCAGCUGGAGGAAGAUUUUGGUCAUUUCUUGUGGGAUACCCAGCUGGUGGUGCUGGGGCCUGUACAUAAUAAGGUGCAGGGUGUGCUACUGUGGUCUGAGUAGUAGCUGAACUCAUUAUCACUAAAGUAGACGAUGGAGAGAAGAAAAUCAAAGUGAUGAAAAGAAUGAA